RNAcentral lists this ribosomal RNA (728 nucleotides) under uncultured Peptococcaceae bacterium. Its description in RNAcentral is "bacterial SSU rRNA". It matches the Rfam family "Bacterial small subunit ribosomal RNA", at positions 28 to 721 of the family's 1533-position model. The record is from RNAcentral. Lineage: Bacteria; Bacillati; Bacillota; Clostridia; Eubacteriales; Peptococcaceae.
GACGAACGCUGGCGGCGUGCUUAACACAUGCAAGUCGAACGGGAAGAAAAGAAAGAGCUUGCUCUUUUUUGGAAUCUAGUGGCAAACGGGUGAGUAACACGUAAAUAACCUGCCUUCAGGAUGGGGACAACAGACGGAAACGACUGCUAAUACCGAAUACCUUCCAAUUUCCGCAUGGAGAUAGGAAGAAAGGGUGGCCUCUACUUGUAAGCUAUCGCCUGAAGAGGGGUUUGCGUCUGAUUAGCUGGUUGGUGAGGUAACGGCCCACCAAGGCGACGAUCAGUAGCCGGUCUGAGAGGAUGAACGGCCACACUGGAACUGAGACACGGUCCAGACUCCUACGGGAGGCAGCAGUGGGGAAUCUUCCGCAAUGGACGAAAGUCUGACGGAGCAACGCCGCGUGAACGAUGAAGGUCUUCGGAUUGUAAAGUUCCGUGAUCCGGGACGAAGGCAUCAGUUGAGAACAUUGAUUGAUGUUGACGGUACCGGAAAAGCAAGCCACGGCUAACUACGUGCCAGCAGCCGCGGUAAUACGUAGGUGGCAAGCGUUGUCCGGAAUUAUUGGGCGUAAAGCGCGCGCAGGCGGCCGUGCAAGUCCAUCUUAAAAGCGUGGGGCUUAACCCCAUGAGGGGAUGGAAACUGCAGGGCUGGAGUGUCGGAGGGGAAAGUGGAAUUCCUAGUGUAGCGGUGAAAUGCGUAGAGAUUAGGAAGAACACCGGUGGCGAAGG